AUUUUAACCUAUCCGUAGCAUAACUUCCCAGUGGGGCACACUGACGAGAAUAGUAGGAGUAUGGUUUGUUGGUGUUUAAUCCGGUGGUUGAGUAGAGUACCAAUCUUGAAGAAACCAUUUGAGUUAACCAAACUGGUGGAGAGAGUACUGGGUAAAGUGAAGGUUGUGAGGAUCACGAGAGGCGGGCUCAUCAGAAGGAACGUGCCUUAAUCGAUUUUCUAAAUUGCUAGUGUUGAUAAUUGAGAUGUGCAGGAGAGUGAGCCGGUCAAGGAUAGAUUCGGACAAAGCGGUAGAUUGUAUGACAAGCGACAGUUUAUUCAGAGUAAAGAUAUCUGGUACAGCGUGCACGGGCUCUUUCUAGUAACUCCGAGUGAGCUAGAAGAGAGAGAGCUAAUACAGUUUGUUUACAUGUUUUAUACAGCACAGAAAGUAGGUUGAGUCUUGAAGUCCUGGUUCUCUGGUUGGAUCAGGUCCAGGCGUAGCCUCUGCUGAUUGGCUCCUGCAGCCCAUGCUUCAGCCGUUGCUUAAUGUCCUUGUUGUUUUCCUGAGUCCAAGGGUCAGGCUUUGGCCGAUACUGCUGAUUUAAGGCUUUGUGGUCGAGCCAGUUCCUGUCUAUGUGCUGUGAGUUGAGACAUCAGCACAUUCGUGUAAGUUCAAUUGUGUGAUGCUUCCUGUUGAGCAAUGUGUAGUAGACAGCUACAGUUAAUAUGCAGAGGUUAAUGUGUUAUAGCUAAAGGCCUGGUUAUAACAUGCUCAGCUAAAUACU
Molecule: long non-coding RNA, 766 nt
Organism: Oncorhynchus kisutch (coho salmon)
Lineage: Eukaryota; Metazoa; Chordata; Actinopteri; Salmoniformes; Salmonidae
Exons: 2
Source: RefSeq, a predicted model, not a curated record